CCCUACGCCGCCAAGAACACCGUGCAGUUUCAUGUCUCUGCUUGGGACAUUCAGCCCAGGGGGCCGGGGCCGCCAAUGAAGUGGGAUGACUCAUGGCACUCCGGGAGGAGUGCCCUUGGGGGGGGGGGUUCUGUCACGAUUCCCCCUUGAAGCAGUGUGCUCUAAGCGCAAAUGCGCGAGCACCUGCUUUUCCGCUGUCGACCGUAGUGACAUUGGGACACGUGUGUUUUGUUUGUUUGUCAUGUCUCCUCCCUGUUCCGUCAUUGGCUGAGAAUUCACGUGGGUCUGUAUUGCUCCCAGCUGAUAGCAGUUUACACGCUAAUCAUGUCCGCAUAUAUACCGCGCGCUUCCCAGCACACAACGUGGAAGAUUAAUAAGUCAUAAGUAAAUGUUUAGCGUUAGUUUAGUUCGCGUCAUAGUCAGUUUGCGCUGGAUAUCCGCUUCCAAUUCCUGCCUAGCCCUGUGUAUACCUGUUUGCCAAUCGCCUGACCUCUUGCCUGUUUAUGAAUUACGUUUUGGAUCACGUUUUGGAUUUGUCUGCCUGCCUGUCUCUUUAAAUAAACAACUGUUAUCCUGCA
Ictalurus punctatus (channel catfish) is the source of this 578-nucleotide long non-coding RNA. RefSeq lists it as uncharacterized. The transcript is spliced from 2 exons. Lineage: Eukaryota; Metazoa; Chordata; Actinopteri; Siluriformes; Ictaluridae. The record is from RefSeq and is a predicted model, not a curated record.